RNAcentral lists this ribosomal RNA (250 nucleotides) under uncultured bacterium. RNAcentral's name for it is "partial 16S ribosomal RNA". It matches the Rfam family "Bacterial small subunit ribosomal RNA", at positions 524 to 773 of the family's 1533-position model. The record is from RNAcentral.
GACGGAGGUCCCUAGCGUUGUUCGGAAUUACUGGGCUUAAAGCGCGUGUAGGCGGAAGGGCAAGUACCUUGUGAAAUCCCCGGGCUCAACCCGGGAAUAGCUGGGUAUACUGCCUUUCUUGAGGCAGGUAGGGGUCACUGGAACCUUAGGUGGAGCGGUGAAAUGCGUAGAUAUCUAAGGGAACGCCUGUGGCGAAAGCGGGUGACUGGGCCUGUCCUGACGCUGAGACGCGAAAGCGUAGGGAGCAAAC